CCUACGGGUGGCAGCAGUGAGGAAUAUUGGUCAAUGGUCGCGAGCCUGAACCAGCCAAGUAGCGUGAAGGAUGACUGCCCUGCGGGUUGUAAACUUCUUUUGUAAAGGAAUAAAGUGUGGCACGUGUCCCUGUUUGUGUGUACUUUAUGAAUAAGGAUCGGCUAACUCCGUGCCAGCAGCCGCGGUAAUACGGAGGAUCCGAGCGUUAUCCGGAUUUAUUGGGUUUAAAGGGAGCGUAGAUGGUUUGUUAAGUCAGUUGUGAAAGGUUGCGGCUCAACCGUGAGACUGCAAUUGAUACUGGCAGUCUUGAGUAGAGUUGAGGUAGGCGGAAUUCGUGGUGUAGCGGUGAAAUGCUUAGAUAUCACGAAGAACUCCGAUUGCGAAGGCAGCUUACUAAACUGCCACUGACAUUGAUGCUCGAAAGUGUGGGUAUCAAACAGGAUUAGAUACCCGAGUAGUC
RNAcentral lists this ribosomal RNA (460 nucleotides) under uncultured bacterium. RNAcentral describes it as "partial 16S ribosomal RNA". It matches the Rfam family "Bacterial small subunit ribosomal RNA", at positions 338 to 795 of the family's 1533-position model. The record is from RNAcentral.